UCAGAAUACAGUCUGUUGAAUUAUCCUAGAUGAAAAUAAAGGCAAACCAACACAUUCAUCCAUGAGGAUUUUGGUCCAUUCCAUUUAUUUUCUUUUAUUUUGCAUUCUUAAUUUCCUUUUUAGUUUAACACUGUUUGUUUGAGCUUAGGGAAGACAACUACCAAGAAAGGCCAGGAACAGUUGACUACACAAUGAAGAUUCCAUGCAAAAUGUUCAAUAUUGGAUCUAAAGGGGUUCAAAAUGUUUCAUACUAAACUGUUUGGGAAUUUAUUUGUUAACUCUGUGUACACCUAAUAAAAUUCAAUGUUUUCUUCUCAGAAGAGUUCAUUGAGACCAAACUGAACCUCAUUUAUUGAAAAUUAUAUGUGGGAUCAAUGUACUGGCCUCUUGUUAUUCUUUCUAUGUGGGAGGAUGACCCAGUCAUCAUUUUCCCCAUCUGCACUGUAUUUAUUGGGAAAUUAUUUUGUCACUGCUUUCAUAAAUCUUCUUCAUGACAGCCCUUGCCCAGCAUUAAAAAAUUCUGGCCUGCUUAGCUGAUUAAAGGUUUAGUAGAAAUUUAACUGUUUGUUUAUGCUUAUUUCAUUUUCAUAUUGGAUUCUACUUGAAUAAAUAAAAAGUUAGCAGAACGUUUGAGUAGAUUUAUUGCCAAUGAUGCUAAAUUACAAAUCUAACAAACAAAAUGAUUCCUUUGGUCAUUUUUGAUUUGGUGUUAUGUCAUCUUGAAGCCUAUUGUUUUUAACAGGAACAGUUAAAAUAUAUUAGAUAACUUCCAUUAACCAAUUAUUUUCAGAAAACAUAGAUCCCAUAAUAUGUGGCCAACUAUAUGAGUAAUUAACUAACUUGUAAUACAGUCAAAUGGGCUUAUGGACACUACUUACAGCAGCAACACUUCACUUCACACAAACACACACAUAUACACACACACACACACACACACACACACACACACAGAGCAAACACCCCCAUCUAUUUGUUACUGAUAAUUAGCCCUACUUGCUGGUUUCUUUUUCCCCUGCAAGUCUGUUUAUUGGUUUAAAUUAAGACAAGAUUUAUUUUUGUAAAUGACUGAGAUUUAUGUAAAUGUGUAUCUCUGUUGUGUUUUAUAUAUGGGGUGUCUAUAAGGGCAUUUAUCCCUAUGAAGGAUGUCAAAUACUUUCUUCUAAUAUAUGUUUAGACAUAUUGCAGAGGGGUCCUUGUUAUUUGUAAUUGAGUUAGGUCAUUUACUUUGUGUCUGGUCUCACCUGUAGCAUGGGAAGAGGACAGCAAUGAUGAGCUGCAUGUAGUAGGUACCUGUGUAUCAAGAACUGUUGGUAUGUAUUGCUAAUUUGCAUACAAAGAGUUUGUCUGUCUGCAUUGUAGUUUGUGUUUAAUAUCAUUUGUUAAAUUCACAAAUACAACAUAUUGAAUAAAAUAUUUAUAUGAAGGCAUAUUAAAAAACAUCAAACAACUUUAUGUAACAAAAUGGCAUUGCAUUACUCACCAAUAUAGAGAAAUGUCAUGUAAAUAAGUUGGUAAACUCAAUUUCCCCCUUUACCAUGCCAAAGAAAAUUUUAGCUCUUUGAUGAUACCUCUCUUGCUAUUUGUUUGGGAUAAGACUUCGCCAUUUUUUUCCCCUCAGAAAUUAAGUUUGCUGUUAUUAAGUAAGAAGUGCAAUCUGUCACUACUGAU
This 1668-nucleotide long non-coding RNA is filed under the name Homo sapiens (human). Its description in RNAcentral is "non-protein coding lnc-NALCN-1:4". Lineage: Eukaryota; Metazoa; Chordata; Mammalia; Primates; Hominidae. The record is from RNAcentral.